Molecule: ribosomal RNA, 253 nt
Filed under: uncultured bacterium
Lineage: Bacteria
Description: partial 16S ribosomal RNA
Rfam family: Bacterial small subunit ribosomal RNA
Source: RNAcentral
AACGUAGGUUCCGAGCGUUAUCCGGAUUUACUGGGCGUAAAGCGCGUUCAGGCGGUUCGGCAAGUCGGGCCUGAAAUCUCUCGGCUCAACCGGGAGAGGUUGUCCGAUACUGUUGGACUUGAGGGCAGUAGAGGGUGGUGGAAUUCCGGGUGUAGUGGUGAAAUGCGUAGAUAUCCGGAGGAACACCAGUGGCGAAGGCGACACGCUGGGCCGUACCUGACACUGAUGCGCGACAGCAUGGGGAGCAAACAGG